CACGUAGGGGGCAAGCGUUGUCCGGAUUUAUUGGGCGUAAAGAGCUCGUAGGCGGCUUAGUAAGUCGGGUGUGAAACCUCCAGGCUCAACCUGGAGACGCCACCCGAUACUGCUGUGGCUAGAGUCCGGUAGGGGAGCGUAGAAUUCCUGGUGUAGCGGUGAAAUGCGCAGAUAUCAGGAGGAACACCAGCGGCGAAGGCGGCGCUCUGGGCCGGUACUGACGCUGAGGAGCGAAAGCGUGGGGAGCAAACAGG
This 254-nucleotide ribosomal RNA is filed under the name uncultured bacterium. RNAcentral describes it as "partial 16S ribosomal RNA". It matches the Rfam family "Bacterial small subunit ribosomal RNA", at positions 524 to 776 of the family's 1533-position model. The record is from RNAcentral.